This 771-nucleotide unclassified non-coding RNA is filed under the name Hevea brasiliensis (rubber tree). Lineage: Eukaryota; Viridiplantae; Streptophyta; Magnoliopsida; Malpighiales; Euphorbiaceae. The record is from RNAcentral.
GUUCAUUAACAAAACAAGGCUCAAAAGCCCAAUACAACAAAGUACAGGAAAUAAAAGCUCACAAAAAAGGGCCCUAUCUAACACACCCCGGUCCAGGAACCCAUACAUCCCAUCUGGAUCCCUAGGAUCGAAAGAACAACUCAAUCCUCAAGCUCCCAGCGCCGUCAAACAAGGCAAGAGACCCAGUUGAAACUACCGACGCCAUGCUCAGCUAGUGGCUCGAGUUGAAGAGGAAACUGAUAGGAGAUCAGCGGCAGGCUUCCACCCAUGAGGAAAGACUGGAGAAAGGCAUCUAACCUCCUCCCGCAAAAGAAAACAACUCAAGCUUAGAUAGAGCCCAAGUUCAACGGUGAAACGAAACAUGCAGAGCACUGCUCGAUCAAAAGAACACAACAAAUCCAAAGGCAUUAGGCAGUGCUCCUAUAAGAGACCGGAUGCUCACAAAUCCGAGGUGGUAUUGUUAGUGUCACUAGGAAGGUACCUAACAACAAUGAACCCAAGGAUUAGAAGUAAGCCUAGAUUAACACCCAUAGUAAAACAGAACUCAACCCCUUGCUGAAGCAAAAGGAUUUAGGGAGGGGCACAUGCAAGGCCUUGGAACUCCUUCGAUGAAGAACCGUCUGCAAUAAAAAAAGCAGACAAAAUGACUAUAUACACCCCACCAGAGGAGAAAGAAGGAGAGACCCAUCCUCCAGCAAGGAAAGGAAAAGUCGACCCCUGCUUGGAAGGGGCAGGGGCGGCAGCUUGAACGAAAGUGGAAGAGAACUUGAG